GGACUACAAGGGUAUCUAAUCCUGUUUGCUCCCCUAGCUUUCGUGCCUCAGUGUCAGGAGUUGUCCAGGGACUCGCCUUCGCCACUGGUGUUCCACUUGAUAUCUACGCAUUUCACUGCUACACCAAGUAUUCCAGUCCCCCCUCCAACCCUCGAGCGGCGCAGUUUCCAAUGCCAUUUCGGAGUUGAGCUCCGAGCUUUCACAUCCGACUUACGCCACCACCUACGCACCCUUUACGCCCAGUGAAUCCGAACAACGCUUGGGACCUCUGUAUUACCGCGGCGGCUGGCAC
Molecule: ribosomal RNA, 292 nt
Filed under: uncultured bacterium
Lineage: Bacteria
Also listed under: 1 other name
Description: partial 16S ribosomal RNA
Source: RNAcentral